AUACGUAGGGGGCGAGCGUUGUCCGGAAUGAUUGGGCGUAAAGGGCGCGUAGGCGGCCCGGUAAGUCUGGAGUGAAAGUCCUGUUUUUAAGAUGGGAAUUGCUUUGGAUACUGUCGGGCUUGAGUGCAGGAGAGGUAAGUGGAAUUCCCAGUGUAGAGGUGAAAUGCGUAGAGAUUGGGAGGAACACCAGUGGCGAAGGCGACUUACUGGACUGUAACUGACGCUGAGGCGCGAAAGUGUGGGGAGCAAACAGGAUUAGAUACCCUGGUAGUCCACACUGUAAACGAUGAAUGCUAGGUGUUGGGGGUAUCGACCCCUUCUGUGCCGCAGUCAACACAAUAAGCAUUCCGCCUGGGGAGUACGGCCGCAAGGUUGAAACUCAAAUGAAUUGACGGGG
This 397-nucleotide ribosomal RNA is filed under the name uncultured bacterium. RNAcentral's name for it is "partial 16S ribosomal RNA". It matches the Rfam family "Bacterial small subunit ribosomal RNA", at positions 523 to 918 of the family's 1533-position model. The record is from RNAcentral.